RNAcentral lists this non-coding RNA (45 nucleotides) under Schistosoma mansoni. The record is from RNAcentral. Lineage: Eukaryota; Metazoa; Platyhelminthes; Trematoda; Strigeidida; Schistosomatidae.
AUGCAACUGACGAGUCCCAAAUGAAACGAAACGAACGUUUUGUAU